UUGCAGAAAACUGAAAUGCUCUGCUCGAUUUACCCUCCUCUUUCUGAAAAACAGAAAAAAAACCAUUCACAGCAGACUCUUCCUCCUUCAACACUUACGUAGAACCUAAAAGGCCCAGAUGAAAUUGGAGCCCCACUAUGCAAGGCUGCCUACUAACACAUGCACCUUUCAUCUGAGACUCUCAAAGCACUUUGCAAACAUGGAUAAAGCUUUGCAACUGUCAAGCUUCAGAUUGGAAAUAAGACAUAAGCUGUUAACACUAAGGAUGAGGGACAUUGACGCAGAAAGAAGCUUAAUGACUUCCCCAAGAUCAGGCAAAAGAAAAAAGAAAAAAAAACAGUGGCAAAGGAAGGCAUAGACCCCAAGAGUCGCAUCUCCUUAUCGACUGUCCUAAUCAUUAUACACACUAUAUUUUCACAGCACUACAAAAAUAUGAAUACAAGAAACCAAAAAAAGCCAAAGGAAACACAUUUCCUGUAAAUGUGUGAAAAUGGUUUGUUUGGUCUGAUAAUCUUGAACACAUUUCUUUUGAAAGCAUAAUUUAUUAAAAUAAGCACAUGUAAUUUUGCAAUUAGAAAUACAAUAUGUGCAUUAAACACAUUAGUUAAGAAGUUAUGCUUUUAAAACUGCAAAUCACUAACCAAAUGCAUUUUACAAUGUUUUAAUGAGCACUUUUUCAUAUGGUAUUAAUAUCCAUUAGCUAUGUUAAUACAAGUAAUGCUAAUAAUGUACAAAACCAUUAUUUUGCUACAAAGUCAAUAAUGGAUGGUAGUGAUUUCUAGACUGAACUGUCUGAGAGGGUUUAUAUUGUGUUUAGUGCAAUGGUAAAAGUACCAUUGAAUUUCUCUCUCUGUUAACUAAAUUCUGGCUGCUUUCAUGGAGGGUAACUAUCUGGGUUAGGUGGAUGUCUGUGGGGUGAUUUUGGAGGAGUUCUAUGAAUCAACACAAGUGCUGGGUAGAAAUAGCACACAGAUGCCCUUCUGUCUUCCAUAAAGCAACACCAGGAUAUAGGGACAUUUACCCUGUUUUCUACUGCCUGCUGACUAAUGUUGUCUCAUUGUUUCCUUGUACCUGCCUGUCUGUCUGUAUCCAUCUGUCGUAUCUUGUCUUAUAUUUAGAAUGUGAGCGCUUUUGGACAAGGACUGUCUUUUGUUCUGUUUGUACAGCACCUAGCACAGUAGAGUCCUUCUACAGGACUUGGGCUCCUAGAUGUUAUGAUUAAACAAACGAUAAAAAGAACUAACCAUUUUCAUAGGUACAAUAUACGUACCUGCCCUCUCCUUUGCACAGGUAUAAAUUUCACCAUUACGAGAUAAGCAGAGUUAGGCCUGACCUGCAAACUUUGGAUUCAAACUUCCCCAGCGUACAUGGUGGUUGGAUUCUGAAAUGGAUUCAAAGCCAAACUGAAGUCAAUGGAAAGACUCCCAAUGAUUUCCACGGGCUUUACAUCAGUCCCUUGCUUUGAGCUCAUCUUGAAAUAUAACUUUGAUAUAUUGUAUCUAAAUGGAUUUUAUUGGCUAGAUUGUCUCUUUGGAACAACUAUGAUUGUUAUUUUGCCAGAUAAUCUGGUGAAAUGUAAUAGUUGUUUAGUUAGUGGAUGGAAUGAGGAGUGAUUAUUGGGAGAAAUUCUGCUUGAAGUCAUAAUACAAUUUGCAGCUACAUUAUACUGCUUGCUUUAGGAAAACAUUUAUAAGCUGAUUUGCAAGUAAAAUAUUAUAUUAUACUAAUAUUUGGAACAUUUUAUGCUACUAGUAAAAUUCUUACAUUAUUUUAGAGACCAUUCUUGCAUUGUAAAAUUAACCAUAUAUCUUAUAAAUCAACAGAGAGAAGAAACCACAGUGGUGAUUCAAAUAUUAAGCAUACACAUUUUAAUAAUAGCAUGUUCCUGUUUAAUUUUUAAUUUACUUAACCACAGCAUUUAUUCUAACUUAAGGCAACAAUUUCCCUGAAAAAUGCAAUUAUUUGCAACUUUUCUCAUUUUUGUACAAUAUACAUA
RNA transcript from Gopherus flavomarginatus (Mexican gopher tortoise), 1996 nucleotides. RefSeq lists it as uncharacterized. Lineage: Eukaryota; Metazoa; Chordata; Testudines; Testudinidae. The transcript is spliced from 4 exons. The record is from RefSeq and is a predicted model, not a curated record.